This 115-nucleotide non-coding RNA is filed under the name Alkalibacter saccharofermentans. RNAcentral's name for it is "FMN sequence". It matches the Rfam family "FMN riboswitch aptamer (RFN element)". Rfam says of the family: The RFN element is a highly conserved domain that is found frequently in the 5'-untranslated regions of prokaryotic mRNAs that encode for flavin mononucleotide (FMN) biosynthesis and transport proteins. Lineage: Bacteria; Bacillati; Bacillota; Clostridia; Eubacteriales; Eubacteriaceae. RNAcentral also lists the same sequence under 1 other name. The record is from RNAcentral.
AACGAACUUCGGGGCAGGGUGAAAUUCCCGACCGGCGGUUAAAGUCCGCGAGCCUAACGGCUGAUCCGGUGUAAUUCCGGUACCGACAGUACAGUCUGGAUGAGAGAAGAUAAAA